GGUUUGAGAGUCCCCGAUGAAACCAUUCGGAUAUUUUCAUCGGCUCAUCAGACACGC
This is a microRNA precursor of Ictalurus punctatus (channel catfish), 57 nucleotides long. Lineage: Eukaryota; Metazoa; Chordata; Actinopteri; Siluriformes; Ictaluridae. The record is from Ensembl.